UGUUUUCUUCUUCUCAGUGUAAGUGAGAAACUUUAAGCUUUUUUCUUCCCUUAGUUUACU
This 60-nucleotide transfer RNA is filed under the name Aptostichus atomarius. RNAcentral describes it as "tRNA-Val". The record is from RNAcentral. Lineage: Eukaryota; Metazoa; Arthropoda; Arachnida; Araneae; Euctenizidae.